GAUGAACGCUGGCGGCGUGCCUAAUACAUGCAAGUCGAGCGAACAGACGAGGAGCUUGCUCCUCUGACGUUAGCAGCGGACGGGUGAGUAACACGUGGAUAACCUACCUAUAAGACUGGGAUAACUUCGGGAAACCGGAGCUAAUACCGGAUAAUAUAUUGAACCGCAUGGUUCAAUAGUGAAAGACGGUUUUGCUGUCACUUAUAGAUGGAUCCGCGCCGCAUUAGCUAGUUGGUAAGGUAACGGCUUACCAAGGCAACGAUGCGUAGCCGACCUGAGAGGGUGAUCGGCCACACUGGAACUGAGACACGGUCCAGACUCCUACGGGAGGCAGCAGUAGGGAAUCUUCCGCAAUGGGCGAAAGCCUGACGGAGCAACGCCGCGUGAGUGAUGAAGGUCUUCGGAUCGUAAAACUCUGUUAUUAGGGAAGAACAAAUGUGUAAGUAACUAUGCACGUCUUGACGGUACCUAAUCAGAAAGCCACGGCUAACUUCGUG
This 497-nucleotide ribosomal RNA is filed under the name uncultured bacterium. Its description in RNAcentral is "partial 16S ribosomal RNA". It matches the Rfam family "Bacterial small subunit ribosomal RNA", at positions 28 to 507 of the family's 1533-position model. The record is from RNAcentral.